CCUACGGGAGGCAGCAGUGAGGAAUAUUGGUCAAUGGGCGAGAGCCUGAACCAGCCAAGUCGCGUGAAGGAUGAAGGCUCUAUGGUUUGUAAACUUCUUUUAUAUGGGAAUAAAGUGAGGAACGUGUGCCUUUUUGUAUGUACUAUAUGAAUAAGCAUCGGCUAACUCCGUGCCAGCAGCCGCGGUAAUACGGAGGAUGCGAGCGUUAUCCGGAUUUAUUGGGUUUAAAGGGUGCGUAGAUGGUUUAUUAAGUCAGUGGUGAAAGUUUGUGGCUCAACCAUAAAAUUGCCGUUGAAACUGGUAGACUUGAGUACAGUAGAGGUGGGCGGAAUGCGUGGUGUAGCGGUGAAAUGCAUAGAUAUCACGAAGAACUCCGAUUGCGAAGGCAGCUUACUAGACUGCAACUGACACUGAUGCACGAAAGCGUGGGGAUCAAACAGGAUUAGAUACCCUUGUAGUC
RNAcentral lists this ribosomal RNA (460 nucleotides) under uncultured bacterium. RNAcentral's name for it is "partial 16S ribosomal RNA". It matches the Rfam family "Bacterial small subunit ribosomal RNA", at positions 338 to 795 of the family's 1533-position model. The record is from RNAcentral.